Lontra canadensis (Northern American river otter) is the source of this 2202-nucleotide long non-coding RNA. RefSeq lists it as uncharacterized. The record is from RefSeq and is a predicted model, not a curated record. Lineage: Eukaryota; Metazoa; Chordata; Mammalia; Carnivora; Mustelidae. The transcript is spliced from 2 exons.
GGACCCAGGCCUUAGGCUUUGACCUACUACAACAUGAGGUCAUAGAGGUCAUGUAGAUAAUGGGGCCUUGGGUGGGGAGAGGACAGUCACUCUACUAGCCUCACUAUGCCCACAGCCCGAGUCCAGGCUCUCGAGUGACUUACCCAUUCUCUUCCUUAGGGGAGAAGAAUGCAGGUGUGUUUGGGUGGAUUUGUAUAUGUGUGUGCUUGUGUGAGUGCAUGUGUGUGUGUAUGCUUAUAUUUCUUGUUCUGAGUUCUUUAAGGAAGCAGAAUUAAGCUUCCCCCUUCAGCAGCCUCCUGAAGCAAUUUGCUGUGCUGUAUUAUCAGCUGCUGAUGACUUCUUUGUGAGGUUAGGUAAGGGUCCUGAAGGACAUGGGAGAAGUAUAAAACAGGACUUAGACUGAGAAACAAGCAGUAAUUCUCAACAUUGGUCAUACUUUGGAAUUACCUGGGAGCUUUUAAAACUAUAGAUACCUGGAUCCUACCCCCAGGGAUUCUGAUUUAAUUGGUCUGGAGUAUGCCUAGGCAUCAGGAUUUCUAAAAGCUCCUCAGGCAGUUCUGAUGUGCAGCCUAACUUGAAACACAUUAUUAAUGAGUGGGUUACAAUUGCAGUGAAAACCAGGUGUGUGUGUAGGAGGGUGCCAUAUGAGUGGUGGCAGUGUGGAGGAUAAGAAUCUAAUUGGGUAAUGUUGCCUUAGUAACUGGAGAGGACUUUUAGGAAGCCAGAAUUACCCAGGUAAAUUUGAGGAAAUUUUUUUUCAUGUACCACUCCCUGACCUAGGCUGAUCUGUGUAUAGCUGACUCUCUCCUGCUGCAGCCCUAAUCUAUGUGUGAUUUCCCUUUGUGUCUCUGUUCAGAGAUCUCAACCUGGUGUUUGCUGGAGAACAGUGGUUUUUCCUUGGGGAAGAGCCACUCUGUGGAGCCUUUCUAGUAACUUCUGCUCUGCCUCUUAUCUGUCUAAAGAGUCUUCUCUUGAGUCCCUCUGGAGAGUCUCCUGUGUUCCUAGGAAGACCACUUCUGUAUGGGGAGCAUCCUUUCCUAUCCUGGCCCAGCAGGUAGGGCUGUCCCAUGAAGUUGGCCAUAGUCUGAGCUGGCUGAGGUGGCACAAGGAAUGGUCCUACAUGGUGUAACUGGCCUCAGGGGAGGAGUCCAAGGAUUGAAAGUUGCUGAAGGAAAACAGAUGACAACUGAGUUCUGGAUGGAGUUGAUGAGCCUAAGGGCUGGGCUGUUUGGGCCAUAGCCUGCUUAUUGGGUUGCCUCCAGUGUGGCACAUUCUGGGGUUUCCGUGGACAGAUCAUCUGCAACAUAUCUGAGUGGUGACUGGACUAAAGAACAUGAGAGGAACAAAACAGUCAGGGGCUGUUAUUUAGGGAACAUGGGGUUCUCUGCAAGAACCUCCAGGGUACUAUAGAAUAGUGUUGAUAGAACUUUUGGAGGGAUAAAGAGCCCUAACAAGUCUCCUCACUUCUCUUAGGCUACAGGGAUAACUGUACAAGGCCCUAAUCCCUUAUUUGAAAGCUUUAGGGAUAGAUGUGUUUUGGAUGUCAGAAUUUUAGAAAGGGAAUAUAGUGCCUUUGUCCUAUAUAAAGGAGUACCCCAGAGAGGUUUAGGGCAGUGCCCUAUAAUUGAACACAUCAAUAUUUCUGAACCUAAAUGUAUGAAUAUUCACACCAAGUGAGAUAAAUAAAUACUGUAAAUACCAUUAUGAUGUUUCAGGUUAGGUUUUGGACCAAAGUUAUAACAAAAAAAUAUUGUUUCUUCAGAAAUUUUUUUUUAUUUUGGAACUGUGGAUAAGGGAUUAUAGGAUUACUCUCAGGUUAUUGUGAGGAGGGAGUGCUGGUAGUCUUCUAAACACAUCACAUGGUAGGUGUGUGAUCUCAAUCUAAAACAAAAUAACUAAUGUCCAAGAGGGUGGAAUUUGGCUUGAAGAAAGAAGGUUCUUGGAGUGGGCAAUGCACAACUUUGGAAAUCAGGUGCCUUGGGGAGCUGUGCACAACCAGGGAAUGAAGGUGCCUUAGACAAGAGGUUUCCUGUGGUGGGAAGGUGACAGAAUUCAUUGCUUAUGAACAUUGACUGCAUAGGAUUUCCCUUUUCAUGUACUAGAGGGGAAAGGCAAAAAAUGUGCGUGUGUGUAUGUGUGACACAGGACGUCACAUACACAUUUCUUUAUAAUAAUGUUGUAAUAAAUAUCUUACUGCAUACA